Molecule: ribosomal RNA, 450 nt
Filed under: uncultured bacterium
Lineage: Bacteria
Description: bacterial SSU rRNA
Rfam family: Bacterial small subunit ribosomal RNA
Source: RNAcentral
GUGGGGAAUAUUGGACAAUGGGCGAAAGCCUGAUCCAGCCAUGCCGCGUGUGUGAAGAAGGUCUUCGGAUUGUAAAGCACUUUAAGUUGGGAGGAAGGGCAGUAAGUUAAUACCUUGCUGUUUUGACGUUACCGACAGAAUAAGCACCGGCUAACUUCGUGCCAGCAGCCGCGGUAAUACGAAGGGUGCAAGCGUUAAUCGGAAUUACUGGGCGUAAAGCGCGCGUAGGUGGUUUUGUAAGUUGGAGGUGAAAUCCCCGGGCUCAACCUGAGAACUGCCUCCAAAACUGCAUGACUAGAGUACGGUAGAGGGUAGUGGAAUUUCCGGUGUAGCGGUGAAAUGCGUAGAUAUAGGAAGGAACACCAGUGGCGAAGGCGACUACCUGGACUGAUACUGACACUGAGGUGCGAAAGCGUGGGGAGCAAACAGGAUUAGAUACCCCUGUAGUCC